AACGUAGGACGCAAGCGUUAUCCGGAAUUAUUGGGCGUAAAGGGCGUCUAGGCUGCGUCUUAAGUUGGGCGUGAAAUCUUCUGGCUUAACCGGAAGGGUGCGUUCAAUACUGGGACGCUUGAGGGCAGCAGAGGGAGGUGGAAUUCCCGGUGUAGCGGUGGAAUGCGUAGAUAUCGGGAGGAACACCAGUGGCGAAGGCGGCCUCCUGGGCUGUACCUGACGCUGAAGCGCGAAAGCGUGGGGAGCGAACGGGAUUAGAUACCCCGGUAGUCCACGCCGUAAACGAUGGAUACUAGGUGUUGGUGGUAUUGACCCCAUCGGUGCCGCAGCUAACGCAUUAAGUAUCCCGCCUGGGGACUACGGCCGCAAGGCUAAAACUCAAAGGAAUUGACGGGGGCCCGCACAAGCAGCGGAGCGUGUGGUUUAAUUCGAUGCAACGCGAAGAACCUUACCAGGGCUUGACAUGCACGUGGUAGGGAACCGAAAGGGGACCGACCCUUCGGGGAGCGUGCACAGGUGCUGCAUGGCUGUCGUCAGCUCGUGCCGUGAGGUGUUGGGUUAAGUCCUGUAACGAGCGCAACCCUUGUCGCUAGUUGUACUUUUCUAGCGAGACCGCCGAGAAAACUCGGAGGAAGGUGGGGAUGACGUCAAGUCAGCAUGGCCUUUAUGUCCUGGGCUACACACACGCUACAAUGGCCGGUACAACGGGUUGCCAAGCCGCGAGGCGGAGCUAAUCCUCCAAAGCCGGUCUCAGUUGGGAUUGGAGUCUGCAACUCGACUCCAUGAACGUGGAGUUGCUAGUAACUGCAGGUCAGCAAUACUGCGGUGAAUACGUUCCCGGGCCU
Molecule: ribosomal RNA, 845 nt
Filed under: uncultured bacterium
Lineage: Bacteria
Description: SSU rRNA
Rfam family: Bacterial small subunit ribosomal RNA
Source: RNAcentral